This 253-nucleotide ribosomal RNA is filed under the name uncultured bacterium. RNAcentral's name for it is "partial 16S ribosomal RNA". It matches the Rfam family "Bacterial small subunit ribosomal RNA", at positions 524 to 776 of the family's 1533-position model. The record is from RNAcentral.
GACGUAGGGCGCGAGCGUUGUCCGGAUUUAUUGGGCGUAAAGAGCCCGUAGGCGGCUUGUCGCGUCGUCCAUGAAAACCUGGGGCUCAACCCCAGGCUUGCGGUCGAUACGGGCAGGCUCGAGUUCGGUAGGGGAGACUGGAAUUCCUGGUGUAGCGGUGAAAUGCGCAGAUAUCUGGAGGAACACCGGUGGCGAAGGCGGCAUCCUGGACCAAUAUUGACGCUGAGGAGCGAAAGCCAGGGGAGCAAACGGG